This 4360-nucleotide long non-coding RNA is filed under the name Nicotiana tabacum (common tobacco). RNAcentral describes it as "long non-coding RNA (NTAB_LNC011447)". Lineage: Eukaryota; Viridiplantae; Streptophyta; Magnoliopsida; Solanales; Solanaceae. The record is from RNAcentral.
CAGGAGUUGGGGCUCUUCGUCGUCCUGCUUCGAGGUUAUUUUCGAAAUUUAUCAUCCUGCUUUAGGGUUAUUUUUGGUAAUUUGCAUCUGAGUAUUGUGGGUGUACAUCCCUUUUGAUCAACACGUGUGUGUCGGCUGCGUUCUUCAGUCUACUCAUCUAUGUCUUCUCUCUGUCUCUCUUUUAGAUUCACCCUGGCUUAGGGAUCUUUGUUCCCCUUUGUUUUCUCCCUUUAGGUUUGAAAUUGAAAUGACAUAUUGUGGGCUAUUGAAUUUUUUCCUGGGUUCUCCUUUUUUUUUUGUAUUCGAAAGUUCUUUGAUGGAAUGGAGCUCCUUCAUCUAGACUUCAUAUUCCUUCUGCUAUACUUCCAUUUUAAUGGUUUCAAAGCAAGACUAGAGAAGAUGACCGUUGAUAAUACGAUAUUUGCCGCGACAUCAGACUCUAGAAGGUACAGAAAUUUCUGCUGUUGUAGAAUUAUUUAUGCCUUCGGUUCAUUUCUUAACUUAAUUCUAAAACGCAUGUUGUCUUUUUAAUAUUUGGUGUCAAAUUUUUUCGUCUGUCCAAAUUGCCUCACAGUACAAUCUCUGACAGGUCGUAACUUUUUGGAGAUUUGAGAGGGUUGCACUAGGGUGUUCUUUGGGGAUUUUGCCCUCUUCUCCUUUGUCCUCCAUCUUAGUUGAUCCUUACGGUUAAAAAAAUAAAUUUACUGAAAGUUAUUGUAGACAAAUUUCACACAUGCAUAUAUUUAUUGACUACAUUAUUCAAUUCCUUAGCAGUCGAACACAAUGAGAAUUGAGAAAGGCUCUGCGACCAAAAUUUCAAGACAUCGGUAAUGCACUUAUGUUUUGUUAAGUAUUUUUGUUACCUUUCAACUUACUGUCUAGUAGCUACCCAGAGAAGAACCUGAGAUCAAAAGAAAAAAACUAUCAACAACCCAACUACUACACUAUAUAAAUAUUAUAGUUACUUUUUAUUAGUCGAUUUUUAUAUUCGCAUAAGGGAUCCAUCAUUCAUUCGCCCUGUUUCACGCAUUAUCUUCAGAUGCCUUGUUAGAUGGUAGGAUAUACUUUGUCAUUCAAGUUGGCGAUAGAACAAGUAAGUAGCUUCUGAAUGUGUUUAAUCUUUUCAUUAUGCUACAUGCUUGUUCAAUAGCGAGCGAAUGCAAUUGAACAUCAACAACUCACUCCAGUAUCUUUUCCAUUGAGUGCAGGUGCAACUAUUGCCAUAUGAUGUUAGAAGCAUGAUAUAAGCAACUCAUCAAGGUAAUAAUUUCUAAUAAAAUGUUUAAGUUGAUUUUUCCGGUCAAGAAUCCUAUGACCAUAUAUCGAUAGGAUAGUCUGAUUCAUGUUAUGAGUUUACUUCUUUUUAUUCUAGAAUCACCACGUCAAUGUUGUCUGAUAUACAUUGAAGUCAUAAUUCAUAUGCUCCCUACGAUGUUGUAAGAAAACAAUGUAGAUAAACUACUACUAUUUCUAUCUGAUGGAUAUUUCUGUACCUAAGUUAGACUUCAAUAGUUUUUGUUUUCUUGAGCGACACUCUGUUAGUAUGGUUCUUGACAUUAUUUUUUCAUCUAAUGUGACACUAAAUAAGAGCCUUUUUUCCCUGCAUGUCAAGUAAUUUGGGAUCAUACUCAUGCUUAUAAUGAUACUGCCUUUUAGUCACAUUGUAAGUAAAUGUUGAAAACAAUUAUUAAAUUACCUGUUCUGCAUAGGUAUUAGGUUUUUUGUUCAGACUAGCCUGAUAUUGAAUCUUAAUAUCCAUCAAAGAUGUAUUAUUUUAAAUACCAAGGGUUCAGUUUGAAGGGAAUGAAGAAGAACGGAUAUUCAUGAGAUAAAGUGUUCCAGGAACUUAAUAUAAUAUGGUAUUCAAUGAAUUUAUUUUAGAGAGUUUUUGCAACAUUUUGAUGAGGAUUUUCUUUCGUUCAAUUGAGCAUGUGAAAAAUUGAAUGCAGGAAAUAAACCUUCAUAUUGUGCGGGGAGUUGUGUUGAAAGUUAAAACUUCCUUCUACUCAAUCUACACCUGCAGUCUAAGUUGCCUCCUUUAAUCAUCUUCCCACCCUACCUUUUAAGAAAAAAAAGGGAUAAUAAUCAUAUCCUUGACUUUUAAUAACUCAUAAUACAUUUAAGAAUAGAAACAACUCUCUAUGUAAAGGAGAACAAAAUUUAAUUUCUUGAAUUGUAUCUGGAUAUAGGGAUGAAAAGAUCAUGCUUCAUCCACUUUUCUCUUCCAUAAGAUUUUAGAAAGCUAGACUAUAUGCUUUUUCAUAGAAUAAAAAGUUGAAGUGUUGUACAUGUUGAAAUUCACAAUACAUUACCAAAUAAAAUUGCUUGUAAAUCAAUCCCUGCUCCAUUAUCUAUAAAAUUGGUAAUAGUCAUACUAUGUACAGACUAUUAAAAGGCCAAGCAUGCCUGAAACAUGUCACCUUAUGAUACUUUUGGUGAUGGAAGAUGUACCAUUAUUAUUUCAAUGGUAACCUUAGUGUAACUCUUCUUCUUUGACUGGACGAAGCAAAAAUCCUGCAUGACAAGGAAAAAUAUCCUAAUGUGCUACUUUUAGAAGUAUUGCAUUUUUUACUUUGUUUAGUAAAAACAUCACCCUAAGAAUAGAGGAUAAUACAAGUUCACUAUUUUCUUAAGCUCAAAUUACAAUGAUACACGACAUGUUUGUAAGUUAUAACACCUAACUCAUAUACCGUGGGAAGCUGAACCAGUUAAUAUGUGAAGCUCACGUAUUCUUACUUAAUUCGUUUAUGUUUCAUUAAUUGUGGUCUAUUGUUGCUUAAUUUAGUUUUUACAGGCUAAAGCAGUAGGACCACCUACUGUUUCUUAACAAUUUGUAUUUUAGGACUGUUACUCAGUUAUGCCUUUAUGAAUAUGUUAGUGCUCUUAAAUUCUACGAAUGAUUGUUGUGAACUUGAGUUGGAAAUCCUUUAUUAGCUAAAUUUUAGGAAUACUUAAAUAGUCAACAGCUACCUUACAGGAAAUAGCCUUCGGUUCUAGAUUUUCUAAUGUACCUGAUGAAUGAUUAGAUAUUUCAUUUCCUACUCUAUAUGACGCAAUAAGACGGGGGAAAAAGGUGAACCUACUAGAUGAAUUUAUUAUCUCUCAUGGUUAUUGCUUUUACUUUGCAUUCACUCAUUUGUAUGGAGGCCAUAUUUCCUUGGGAUUUGGAGGAAACUAAUAACUACUUCCCACUACAGAAAUUUUACUUGAAACCAAGUUCCUAAACUCAAGCCUCUUUUGGUCUUUGGCUAAACACUUUUACUAACUAAAAGAUAUUUUCUUUUAUUUUCUGCCUCUUCCUAAAAGAAUUCAAUAUAAUGAUCAAUGUUAUCAGUAUUUACCUUUUUGCUUGAUGAAAGAGGUACAUGUCGGUAUCCUCAGUAUAGUAAUGAUCAUAUUCCCACUCUUCUUCAAUGAUUGGAUUUGGUCAUAUUUUCUUAGAUGCACUUUCGAAAUAUAGUCAGAUGUUGACAUCCUUUUUUUCUUCUGAGAUAAAGAUGCUGACUUCUAUACUUAAAGUUUAUAUUACUAUUAACGUCAGAAUUGAUUCUUGUUCACAGAGAUACCGUCCAAUAUUUUUUGAUUUUAUCCUAAUUGUAGUGCUUCAUCUUGCCUUCAAAUUCAACCUGAUUAAUGCGAUCAAGUCACAUUGAUCAAGUCAACUGCCUUGUGAUAUUUUAGAUGUCCUACUUUGAACAAAUAGAGAAAUGAUGUAUCAUGGCAAAAAUUUCAUGACAUCACCCUGCUUGUAAUUUUGGGACUUAAUGGCAACUCAAAUGCAUGGACAAGGCUUCAUAUAAUAUCCUAUUUUGGUUAUCUUGCUGCAGUAUCUUGAUGACAGGUCACGCAUUAGAGAUGCAGUUAGGAUGGCUGAUGUAAGCAUUACUUUUUAUAUUUAACCAUUGCAAUGCUUUGGCCAGAACCUAAUAUUUUUGCUGAGAUGUCUCUGCUUUCAAAUAUGACUGACAUCCACCUGGACGCUUGAAGAUUUUAAGGUUGCAAUUGCACAAGAUAUUAGCUCUUCACCAAUAUCAGAUACCAACUUAAAGGUCUAAUAUGGCUAAGGAACUGUAUACUCUGUUUACAUCGAACUUUUAUUAGAACUGAAUUUUAAGCGAAACUAAAAAAUGCACUUUCACUAUAUAAAUUUGUAUAUAUUUGUCUUCCUAUUGUGUUUGGUGAGGUGCUGAGUACCAGUCUCUUGAACCAUAUCCAGAUAUAGGGAUGAAAAAGUCACGUUUCUUCCACUUUGAUUGGCCAUAAGAUUUUAGAAAACUAGACUAUAUGCUUCUUCUUUGAACAAAAGGCUGAAGUGUUGUUGGAAAUCACAAUACGCUGUCAAAUAAAAUUACUUGUAAAU